Molecule: long non-coding RNA, 215 nt
Filed under: Linum usitatissimum (flax)
Lineage: Eukaryota; Viridiplantae; Streptophyta; Magnoliopsida; Malpighiales; Linaceae
Description: long non-coding RNA (LUSI_LNC002276)
Source: RNAcentral
UAUCAAUGAUUUGGGUUUGGUUCUUGUAAAUGACGGGGCACAAGUUUUCGUCUCCGCCUAUCGAGGAGGGGGAUUCAAGUCUCGCAGUCAGAUUAUUGUACAGCAGUAGCCUUCUGUGUCUUGUCUUUACUUAUUUGCCUCUGCUAUCUCAAGGUUUUCAAAAUCGUAUCGGUAUGUACAGUUCGACUUGUGAACCACUUGUCAAAAGGAUUUGG